UGAAUCUCCCAAGAGAGCAAAGGCAUUAUUCCUCCACAUCUGCUGGAGGGCAGGCUGUCUCUGUAGCAGGGGAUGGGGGAUUUCUUCUAUUGUAAUCAGCAGUCAUUAGUUUUGGGAGUCAUAGUUGGCCUACCUUUAUUUCAGACUUUAUCCAUCAGUUUUCAAAUAGGAAGACAGUGUUUACUAAUGAACUUUAUCUUUCCUGGGGUCAGCAGCCCAAUAAAGCAAUUGUUUGGAUUUGGGAAUGUAAGGACCAUCUCCUCCAAGCUAAACUCUGAAGUAUAAGGUUUCCUGGGAAUUGGAUGCUGAGAUGAAAAGCAUAUGAGUAGCUUUCUUCCAGCAUUCUUCUUGGUGAUUAACCAACUAUCCAAGUACAAAGUUGCUCCUAAUUAACCCUGAGGACCCCAAUAUAAAGUUGCAAAUGAAAGAAGUCCUGCUACUCUAAAGAAUAACUAAACCAGACUGGAGUCACUGAAACUGAUGGAAGAACAUCUCAGGCAUGAGUGCCAUGGUGACGUCAUCAGCUCCGUUCACAACCACUCACCAUGAGGCCAUUGCUCCUGUGGAGGACACUGGCUUAGGACUCAUGAAGUAGUACCUCAGGAAGGUGUCUCUGUAAGUGUUCCUUCCACCAGCUCCAAGACACAAUGAGAUGGAGAGAACUGGAACAAUUCCCUAUGAUUGCAGCUGGAUAUUUUCACAUGAACUAUCUAGUAAUGAAGGCAAUGGCAUGUGGUGUGGCAAAGACUGGCCCCAGAUUACAUUUCCAGUCCUUUUGUACUGAGGAGGGGCUUUGGGACCAAGACAGUAGGAGUGAGGGUACAGGUUCCACAUUCUAUUUCUCUCUUAGUUUUCUGUGGUUAUCUUGGUGACUGCAUGGUAAAGAUGGAGGUGACAAAAGAUGGAAGGAGCCUGGAUCCCUGAAUGACUUCAUGGUGCAGAGCCUUACACUACCCCCAACUCAUACUAAAACAGGGGUGGGAGGAACAAUAGACCAUUAUUCUGUUAAGGUGCUGAAAUUGUAGAGCUGUUAAUUUGAACAGUUAGAGUUUCUUAUACUGAUACAGUAUCCUUACCCUGGAUUGUUGAAAUAAUUAGUCCAAAUAGUUUCUUUGCCUAAAACUGUGGACAGAGCCUAAGCAAUAUUGAAUCCAAGACAAGGUAUAUUUAUCAUCAAAUGCUACUCACUAUACAAUACAGAUGAAUGUGGCACUUACUUCCCGUGUUGUUACCCAGCCUGCUUCUAGUAUUCUUUACACAAAAUAACAUUCAUGAGCAACCUGG
RNAcentral lists this long non-coding RNA (1284 nucleotides) under Homo sapiens (human). Its description in RNAcentral is "HSALNT0393478". The record is from RNAcentral. Lineage: Eukaryota; Metazoa; Chordata; Mammalia; Primates; Hominidae.